CUGCCUACACAUGCAAGUCGAACGAGACCUUCGGGUCUAGUGGCGCACGGGUGCGUAACGCGUGGGAAUCUGCCCUUGGGUUCGGAAUAACAGUUGGAAACGACUGCUAAUACCGGAUGAUGACGUAAGUCCAAAGAUUUAUCGCCCAGGGAUGAGCCCGCGUAGGAUUAGCUAGUUGGUGGGGUAAAGGCCUACCAAGGCGACGAUCCUUAGCUGGUCUGAGAGGAUGAUCAGCCACACUGGGACUGAGACACGGCCCAGACUCCUACGGGAGGCAGCAGUGGGGAAUAUUGGACAAUGGGCGAAAGCCUGAUCCAGCAAUGCCGCGUGAGUGAUGAAGGCCUUAGGGUUGUAAAGCUCUUUUACCCGGGAUGAUAAUGACAGUACCGGGAGAAUAAGCCCCGGCUAACUCCGUGCCAGCAGCCGCGGGGUAAUACAUA
This 440-nucleotide ribosomal RNA is filed under the name Sphingomonas desiccabilis. Its description in RNAcentral is "bacterial SSU rRNA". It matches the Rfam family "Bacterial small subunit ribosomal RNA", at positions 44 to 529 of the family's 1533-position model. Lineage: Bacteria; Pseudomonadati; Pseudomonadota; Alphaproteobacteria; Sphingomonadales; Sphingomonadaceae. The record is from RNAcentral.